AUAUUGAACUAAAUAAAAAUAUAUUAACUAAAAUAUCAUUAAACAAAUUAUUUAAUAAACCAAAUUUUAUUAUUUCAUUUAUAAUAAUAAAUUAUUUAUUUAUUACACUAAUUAUUGUUGUAAAAAUCUCUAAUAUCAAUUUAGGAUCUUUACGGAAAACUUUAUAAUGUUACCUUCACGUUUAAAAAAUAGUUUAUUAAAAAUUAUAAAUGGAUCCUUAGUAGAUUUACCAACACCAUCAAAUAUUACAACAAUAUGAAAUUUUGGUUCAUUAUUAGGAUUAUGUUUAGUAACUCAACUAAUUACAGAAAUCAGAAGAGCGUUGUG
RNAcentral lists this long non-coding RNA (327 nucleotides) under Neodiprion pinetum (white pine sawfly). RNAcentral's name for it is "uncharacterized LOC124220265". The record is from RNAcentral. Lineage: Eukaryota; Metazoa; Arthropoda; Insecta; Hymenoptera; Diprionidae.